Molecule: transfer RNA, 69 nt
Filed under: Marmota monax (woodchuck)
Lineage: Eukaryota; Metazoa; Chordata; Mammalia; Rodentia; Sciuridae
Description: tRNA.Ala
Source: RNAcentral
GGAGUUGUGACUCAGCAGUAGAGCGCUCACCUAGCAUGUUGGAGGCCCUGGGUUCAAUUCUCAGCACCA